This 100-nucleotide microRNA precursor is filed under the name Oikopleura dioica. Its description in RNAcentral is "microRNA odi-mir-1493 precursor (odi-mir-1493-1)". Lineage: Eukaryota; Metazoa; Chordata; Appendicularia; Copelata; Oikopleuridae. The record is from miRBase by way of RNAcentral.
UGUCACUCGAAAAGCAGAACUGUCUGAAUGGUUGGCUAAACGGGCUAAAACUCCCGAAACUAGCCAGUCUGCGAGACAGUUCCGUUUUUCAGCGACCUGA